Molecule: long non-coding RNA, 1246 nt
Organism: Cyprinus carpio (common carp)
Lineage: Eukaryota; Metazoa; Chordata; Actinopteri; Cypriniformes; Cyprinidae
Source: Ensembl
CGUGUAGACGGAACCCAAACCCCUAGGGAAUAAAUACGAGAUGGGAGGAAAAUAUAUAUUUCAUCUUUCUCUCGCAGUUAUAUCACUGGGUAAUUAUAUAAAUUGCGCCCAUGGGGGAGCCUUAUAUGCAUGGCACUGAAACUGCUUUUGAGUUCACGAUUGCUUUUUAGUUUCACUUUCACUUUAGAGAUUCACGAUCGCACCUAACGUUACUCUGUUUAUACUGUGGAGCGGCAGUACUUACCACACAUUUGACAAGAUUAAAUGUUUUGUCAGUGGUGUUCAGAAUCUACAAAUCAUUUGCCAUCAUCCUCAGUCAUCUCUCCUAUUUUGUUUAUUUUUGUUUUUCAGGCACUUAGAGGACAUUCCUUCACGGACAAAAAAUGUCACAAAGCAAAGGUGGGUAAUCAUUUCUUAAGUUUUUUUACUGAUAAAAUCUAACCCCCUUACAUUUUAAUAUUGAUAAUAACUGACACAAGACUGCACAAAUCCAUCUUGUAGUAACUGUCACAUUUGUAUUUUUACAGAGCUUGUGAUCGCAAGUAGCCCUGACUUUGUUACGGAGCUUCUUCCAUCUGCUCAGCGUACGGCUUUGCUCUACCAUCUCUCUUACCUGGGUUUGGCUAAGUUCCCCAAGUUGGAGAGGAUUCUUAGAGAAUGUGCUGUUAAAUCCCAGCUUCUCUUUGGGUCCUCUGAAGCUCUUCUGCUGAAGUGUGCUGCCACAAGUAAAAACCUGGUUACCACGCUGUUGCCUGCACUGAAGGUUGCUGUUGAAAAGGAUAAAAGCAUUUUGGCCAUUAGGUCCGUGGAAAAAGCAAGAGCAUGGAUCACUGAAAUUGUUGACAAAGUGGAACAGAUGGCGAAUAGGUAAAAUGUUGGAAAAUGUUUUGAAAUGUUGCUAAGAAUGGUAAUUUUUGUGAGAUUUAUUGAGUAUAUUCUGGAUUAAUUUUGAUAUGGCUACUGCCAAAAAUCAUCUGGAUGUAUAUCAACAUAUAAUUAAACAGAAACAAAACACCAUGUCUCAGUCUAUUAUCAAUAACAUUAACUGUGUUUAAGCUGAUAAUUCAUUUGAAAUCUGUCAUCAUCAGAUAUGAAGAACACAUCUUGAAUGUGAGUACAUGCACCAGUGAUGUGAAUGAUGUAAAGGCUGAGACAGAGGAAACAGACAAGAAAAUAUUUCAAGAAAUAGAGGCACUGAAGAAAGAGGUGCUCAAAGAAGAAGAGAAACUAAAGGAAACUAGUGAAC